RNAcentral lists this ribosomal RNA (301 nucleotides) under uncultured bacterium. RNAcentral's name for it is "partial 16S ribosomal RNA". It matches the Rfam family "Bacterial small subunit ribosomal RNA", at positions 509 to 807 of the family's 1533-position model. The record is from RNAcentral.
CAGUAGCCACGGUAAUACGGAGGGGGCUAGCGUUGUUCGGAAUUACUGGGCGUAAAGCGCACGUAGGCGGAUAUUUAAGUCAGGGGUGAAAUCCCGCAGCUCAACUGCGGAACUGCCUUUGAUACUGGGUAUCUCGAGUCCGGAAGAGGUGAGUGGAAUUCCGAGUGUAGAGGUGAAAUUCGUAGAUAUUCGGAGGAACACCAGUGGCGAAGGCGGCUCACUGGUCCGGUACUGACGCUGAGGUGCGAAAGCGUGGGGAGCAAACAGGAUUAGAUACCCCCGUAGUCCCUGUCUCUUAUAC